AUUUCUACUCACACAUCCCGUGUGGGAUGUGAC
RNAcentral lists this small RNA (33 nucleotides) under Anaerobutyricum hallii. RNAcentral describes it as "CRISPR_Repeat". Lineage: Bacteria; Bacillati; Bacillota; Clostridia; Lachnospirales; Lachnospiraceae. The record is from RNAcentral.